AUAAAUAAAUAAAUAAAUAAGAAGAAAGUAAACCAAGUAGGGCAAAGAACUACCCGCCGAAAAGGAACAUAGCCAAAUUCAAGCCAGAACUCACCUAUUUAGAAAUAAAAUCAAACGCUGUCCCUCUUCAUCUCUUUCUCAACCCCAAACCUUAUAUAUGCCUGAUCCCAUUUGAUGGACAUAUGUUUCGCAUUAGCUUAAGGCAGUAGACACACAGAGCAACUUCUCCAAAGGCAAUUCCCACUACUACUCGUAAAUAUUACUUACCACUUCGAGACAAAAGGUUAUCUGUGUGGUUUAGGAUCUAAAAACCAUCUCUCAUACCUUGCCAAGUAGUUUUGUUAUUAUUAUUGGCUGCUCGGGUCCGGAUUUGAACUCGAGCCUCAUAAUAAGUAAUGGGCUCUUUAACAGAGGAAAAAUUAUAAAUUAAAUUAAAUUCACAAAAUUGUCACUUGGAAAAUGCAGCAUGACCUUCUAUUUGUUAUUUGCUCAUUUUUAAAUCUUUUCUCCUCUAUUUUCUUGUUCAUACCUCUUCUUUGCCAUGCACCAAAACAAGAGAGGGGAAAAAAGAGCUUGCAUGUUCAAUGAAAGAAAAAAAAGAAAAGAAAAAAAACAAAUAAUGGCCAUCCUGAUUUUUCCAUCGGCAAAUAUAUAUACAUAAUAAAACACCAGAAGUUCCUAUUUAAUCAAUAUAUGCAUACAUAUUUCUGUUGUACCUCACAGAAGUUUAAAUCUAUUCUUUAAUAAAUAAAAGUUGAAACUCAAGGUCCAGACAUUUUAAAUCGUCAAUUGAAUAUUAAUUUCACAGUUGAAGCGAAAUCGGCUUACCCGUGGGAGAAUCAGAAAUCUUAAAGCCUUUUGCCACUGCCAGCUGCUUCCUUCGCCAUGGCCGGAAAAUAAAUGAAGAGUACUCAGACGUGCGCGACAUUAAGAGGAGUACUCUGCAGCCUGUCAAGCACCUGGAAACAUCACAAAUCAGGCAAAUCAAGCCUCCAAAGGUUCCAUCACCAUGUUUUCCUACCUAGAUUUUCUGGCUUUUUGAAGCAAAACCAAUGCCUUGGAAGGCUUUUCUGCGGGUUAAAUGAAGGUGACGAAGCAUGAGCCUUACCAGCGCUAAUUGAUUUCUCUCAUCUAAUCUACUUUCUUUCCGUCAUCGUCGACAUGCCGUCCCCCUCACCACACCAUUAUCACUUGGAAAGUACCUUCUUCUCACUCCUUACUACUCUGACUCCCCAUUUGCUCCAUCUCACUCUUUCUCUGGCUCGUCUCCUCUGUGAAAACGACCGAUAGUAGCUUUCUCCGUCUGUGAGACCCAAUUAAAUGACCAAAGCACGCCCAGAAAACAUCUCCAUUAAAUUCUCAUGUUUGCCCACACACGAUAGCACGUAACAGCAACAGACUGGAGGGCAUUUUAGUCACUUCAAUCUAGCCGCUUACCGUAUCAUGGUACAAUGAUCAGCCGAAACAGGGCGUAAAGAAAAGAGACACAGCUGUUGGCAAUUACAAAGGUUAAACUCAGGGGAGAGGCAGAGGAGAAAACAGAGUAAUCGGCAAUUAAUCACUUUUGUCAUGAAAAUGACUAAUCAUGCUUAUCCAGAAGAUUCAAACUUGAAACCUUCUGGUUGAAAUCUCCAUCUUUCACAGUUCGGCUGUCCACUUACGAGAGUAACUCAUGCUUUGAUUUCGGUAUAUAAAUUUCUUUUGGGAAAUAAGAAAUCCCGACACAAGUGAAGGGAUGAGAUGAGUCGACAAGCAAUCAUGCAAACUUCCACUAUAAAUGUAAUAAAGACGAGCCAAUUAUAAUCAUUGAAGCCCAUUAACGUAAGAGCAUCAUCUACUUGCCUCAAUCUCAUCCUCUUCUCUUUUCUGCAAUGCAAAAGAUGAUGGUUCAAUGUCUCUAUCACUUUUCUUUUCCU
RNAcentral lists this unclassified non-coding RNA (1916 nucleotides) under Hevea brasiliensis (rubber tree). The record is from RNAcentral. Lineage: Eukaryota; Viridiplantae; Streptophyta; Magnoliopsida; Malpighiales; Euphorbiaceae.